ACUAUGACAUGCAAUCCUAGCUGGGAGGAGAUACUGAAUGAGCUGCUUCCUGGCCAGACACCCCAGGACCGACCAGAUCUUGUCGCACGCGUGUUCAGGGCCAAGCUGGAGACCAUGAAAGAGAUGUUGUUCAAAAAGCACAUCCUUGGUGUUGUGGUAGCGCAUGUGUAUGUCGUCGAGUUCCAGAAGAGGGGCCUCCCCCAUGCACACUUCCUGCUGAUCAUGAAUUCAAAUUAUAAACUCGUGGUGCCAGAGCAGUAUGACCGCGUCAUAUCUGCAGAGCUCCCGGACAGGCAUAAGUAUCCAGAGCUCUAUGCCAUGGUCGUGAAGCAUAUGAUGCACGACCCAUGUGGCAAUCUUAAUCCCAAAAAU
RNAcentral lists this ribosomal RNA (372 nucleotides) under Triticum aestivum (bread wheat). RNAcentral describes it as "partial small subunit ribosomal RNA". The record is from RNAcentral. Lineage: Eukaryota; Viridiplantae; Streptophyta; Magnoliopsida; Poales; Poaceae.